GCAUUAGAACCUUUGUUAUAAACCAAGUAACUACUUGUAUGUUUGUCUUUUUCUGCAUUUUUUAUUUUGUUCAAUCUGUCGAUUUAUCUGUCUUUGCACUAAUUUCACACUUUCUUGAUUGCUGUGUCUUACAUAUAUGUAAUGAAGUGACUGAGAAAGUAGCAAAUACAGACUACCCAAAUACCACAAGUGAUCCUGUCCAGGAGAUAUGAUUUUCCAAAAUACUGAACAGAACUUUGGAAAGUGUUGAUCAUGUGUUUACUUCCAAAUCCACGUCAGAUGGAAAUCUGGCAUUGCAAAUGUGACUUUGGGGAUUUCCAACCCAAACAAAGUCACCAUCUACUUUGCCCAGCCAGAGUCAAUCCUGAGCCAUCUUGGAUUGGGAUCUAUGUUUUGCUACACAUCUAUCAUGAUAAAUCAUUAAAACAAAGCCUUGUAAAUAUUUGCCUUUUAAAGUAAAAGAAUUCUACACUGUAAACCAAUUGAACACAUUUCUCUUGUUAUAACCAGGCCAUUCAAUUAAAACAAAAUGGCUCACUCGGAGUGACUUCCUGGCAUUUAGAUAUUUAGCAUUCUG
RNAcentral lists this long non-coding RNA (577 nucleotides) under Homo sapiens (human). RNAcentral's name for it is "non-protein coding lnc-CD8B2-1:2". The record is from RNAcentral. Lineage: Eukaryota; Metazoa; Chordata; Mammalia; Primates; Hominidae.